CCUACGGGAGGCAGCAGUGAGGAAUAUUGGUCAAUGGACGAGAGUCUGAACCAGCCAAGUAGCGUGAAGGAUGACUGCCCUAUGGGUUGUAAACUUCUUUUAUAUGGGAAUAAAACGUUCCACGUGUGGGAUUUUGUAUGUACCAUAUGAAUAAGGAUCGGCUAACUCCGUGCCAGCAGCCGCGGUAAUACGGAGGAUCCGAGCGUUAUCCGGAUUUAUUGGGUUUAAAGGGAGCGUAGGUGGAUUGUUAAGUCAGUUGUGAAAGUUUGCGGCUCAACCGUAAAAUUGCAGUUGAAACUGGCAGUCUUGAGUACAGUAGAGGUGGGCGGAAUUCGUGGUGUAGCGGUGAAAUGCUUAGAUAUCACGAAGAACUCCGAUUGCGAAGGCAGUUCACUGGACUGCAACUGACACUGAGGCUCGAAAGUGUGGGUAUCAAACAGGAUUAGAUAUCCCUGUAGUC
Molecule: ribosomal RNA, 460 nt
Filed under: uncultured bacterium
Lineage: Bacteria
Description: partial 16S ribosomal RNA
Rfam family: Bacterial small subunit ribosomal RNA
Source: RNAcentral